This 324-nucleotide ribosomal RNA is filed under the name uncultured eukaryote. Its description in RNAcentral is "partial 18S ribosomal RNA". It matches the Rfam family "Eukaryotic small subunit ribosomal RNA", at positions 1470 to 1796 of the family's 1831-position model. The record is from RNAcentral.
CCCUUAGAUGCUCUGGGCCGCACGCGCGCUACACUGGUCGAUGCAACGAGUUUCUUUCCUUGGCCGACAGGCCUGGGCAAUCUUUGAACAUCGAUCGUGAUCGGGAUAGAUUCUUGUAAUUUUUGAUCUUAAACGAGGAAUUCCUAGUAAACGCAAGUCAUCAGCUUGCAUUGAUUACGUCCCUGCCCUUUGUACACACCGCCCGUCGCACCUACCGAUUGAAUGGUCCGGUGAAAUCUCCGGACUGGCGUGAGUCGGAGCAAUCUGACAAACGCCGGAAAGUUGAUUAAACCUUACCAUUUAGAGGAAGGUGAAGUCGUGACA